AGGGUGUAAACGCUGCGGGCUUGGUGUUGGGGGUCCUUAGUGGGCGCCCAGUGGCGGAGAGAAGUUGUUAAGCCUGCUGCUUGGGGAGUAUGUCCGCAAGGAUGAAACUUAAAGGAAUUGGCGGGGGGAGCACCGCAACGGGAGGAGCGUGCGGUUCAAUUGGAUUCAACGCCGAAAAACUCACCAGGAGCGACGGAUAUAUGAAGGUCAAGCUGAUGACUUUACCUGAUUUUCCGAGAGGUGGUGCAUGGCGUGUGACUGU
Molecule: ribosomal RNA, 262 nt
Filed under: uncultured archaeon
Lineage: Archaea
Description: partial 16S ribosomal RNA
Rfam family: Archaeal small subunit ribosomal RNA
Source: RNAcentral